This 3026-nucleotide long non-coding RNA is filed under the name Canis lupus familiaris (dog). RNAcentral's name for it is "lncRNA (ENSCAFG00845020563.1)". Lineage: Eukaryota; Metazoa; Chordata; Mammalia; Carnivora; Canidae. The record is from RNAcentral.
UUUUUAUUUUUAUUUUAGAGCAGCCUCCAAGUAGUCAAGAUUUCCUACUGCGAAAACCUUCCAUUCUAACUUGCCAGAAUGUGCAAGAUGAAGACACCGAUGCCCAGAACACCAAAAGGCUUAUGACAUCUCCACCGACGGCCCUGGUUUUGCUCAUCAGAAUGCACGGGGAGAGAUGGUCUUCCUUCUCUCCACUACCAGGGGCAUCGGUUAAAAGCAAAAAUAAUCCCCAGAAAAACUGCCCUUACUCUGAAGCAGGGGCCAGCAAAUGGUCUCUGUAAAGGGCCAGAUCCUAAAUAUUUUUUUCCCUUGAGGGGCUUUCGGUCUCUGUGAUUCGACUCUGCCAUUUGCAAGCAAUUCUUAAACAAAAUAUUUACAUGAAAGGGCAUGGUCAGACUUGGCUGUAGUUUGCCAGCCUCCUUCAUGAAUCAGAGAGUUCUAUGCUUGAAAAUUGGUGCAGAAAAUAAGGGAAGGCAAACUUUACACAGCUGGUAUCAUGUGCCUCCUAAAUGUGUUGUGUCACUGUGGGUCCCCAGGAAGGUUUUGGGCACAGCCACAUGUUGGCCUUGGGCAGAAAGGGCUACUGGAGUGGGAGUCAGAGGUACCUUGUACCCUGCAGAGCCUCACUCUCCAGACUAGCACAACAGCAAAUCAUAGCCUCCCAAAUUCUCCAACUGGAAGCAUAGGAGCCCUGCCAGCCUGGGACCCCUGGCUCCGGGGUGGAGCUGCCAGUAGCAGUGAGCAGUGUGUGCAUGCACUGUGGCUGCUUAGCUUGGGUCUAGUACAGGGGAAAGAGGGCUAAGUGGCAUUCAGUCAACACCUUUCAUGUCUCUUGCUUGUGUUACCAGAUGUGUAUCGUCAUCCUUUCUUAAAGAGAAACAAUAUGAGCUUCUUCCUGCCAGCUCAAGCUGUAUCAGACAGCAGUUUUCAGAGUAUGAUCUUGACCUGACUGUAAGCAGGCAGCUGUCCUCUUUCGUGUCUCUCCUUCAAACUAUCUGACCCUGGCUCUGCCCCAGUGACCUGUACACUCCUGACCACUUGUAUGCAGGAAGCCUAUCAUCUGUCCACCUGGCCCCCCCAGGGACCCAUGCUGCCUCUCUUGUUCCUACGUGGGGUGGGGGAGCACCCCCAUUUGUUUCCUCUCUCCUGAGGCUCACAUUCCCAUUCAGUUCAGAAAAGCCACAAAAUAGCAAGUAUGUGGGCCAGCUUGAUAUGUAUCCUUUCAAAGAAUGUCCUGGAAGCCUCCAUGUUUCAAAACAUUUUCAGCAAGUUUUCCUUGAACCUUUUAAAUUAUUGCCCCAGGGAAGCCCCUAAACCUGAGGCUAGGGUUAUAAGAAGCUAGACAGAGGCUUCUCUCAAUGUGUUUCCUUCUCCAAAUAGGCCAAAGGAACAGAACUUGGGCAGGUACUAUAUAAACCGUGCCCAGGGAGGCAAUAAAAAGAGUGAACCUCUAUAGUAUUAGUGGAGAGAUGAAAGAGGUCGGAAAUUACCCUGUAUGUUCAGUUCUUUGAAAGCUCAUUAUUUACUUUUGAAGCACUGUUUGUGCAAAACCCAAGGACAGGAACGUACUGACCCAUCCUUCCUCUGGCUGGCUGCCUUCCUGAUGAUGGUAGAUAGAAACGCCUGUAGCCAGGGUACUGGUAAACCUCCCAGGGGAAGCACAAGUUGGAAAAUACAGAAAAUGAGCUUCUUCAAACCCUGGAAUUCACCAGCAUCAUGAAUAUGUAAGAUGCACUCAUUCAUUAAUAGGCUCCAAGACAUUGCAGAUGCUGGGCGUGGGGGGCGUGGGCGAGCACCACUGACGCAAAAGUUAGUGUGUGCGGGACACUUUGCCAAACUCUGAGGGCCUGUCUGGUUUAUGGGACGCAUGUUGGGGCCUCCAUUAGGGCUGGGCAGAGGCCAGGGAGAGCUCUGGGGCCUGGGGUUGGGGAGAACAGGACAAAACUGAACGGAUGCCUCUGAGUUCAGGAUGCAGAGCCGUGUGUUUGAGAAAUGAGAGGGUGUGUGUGUGGUGAGUCCUCUCCAGUUGAGGUCCUGGGGUCUCCAGAAGAGCAGGGUGUCGUCGGCAAAGAGGGGCCAGGAAUGAUGACCUGCCUACAAAAUGUAACAGGUGCUCACAGGCCAAGGAUCUCAAGGUUUCAGGUAGUGGGGCUAAAGGCAAUGCAGUUCACUAUAGCGCUGAGUUAGAAAUAACACAAGACUUUCCUGAGGUCCUUCAAAUGGUGCCCGUGUCAGGCCUCUUCUGAAGAUCUGCCUUUUAUGCUUUCUCCUAUUCCAUUCUCUUGGUUUUCAAGGCAACAUAGAUUUAUAGGUGAACUUUUUUUUUUUAGAAGUAUAGCAUUUAUACAAGCAGAUAUUCAUAUUCUCUUAGCAUCAUAUCAUCAAGAAGCUAAAAGAAAUUAGAGAUUUCUGGAUGGGUGUGAUGGGGGUUCAGAAUAUGCCCUUAAGAGCUGUCACAGAUCUGAUACCCAAGAAACAUUUGGGAGACAAAGAGAGGUGGAGUCCAUAGCUCAGGCUGUGUGGUCUUCCUACUGGAGGUCCUAUGGCUUUUCCUCUUUCUACUCCCCAAGUUGUGGCAGGAGAGCCUCUUCCAUAUUGUGCCAAUCCUCAUUUAAUUGGAUCUGAUGAACCACGGUGGAAUGACACAGAAGUGGAGUUGUCUGAGGCCCCAGAUAUGCUUUGUUCUCUCCCAUUGUGCUGCAGUUUUGUUGUUCCUGACAUGGAUUCCAGAGUGCUCUUCUGCUGGCCUUUCCGAUUCCCCCUCCCCCAUGAGAUGCCUUAUUAGAUGGGUCUGAGGAAGUGAGGGGCAAGUGGGUUUCUCCCGGGAAUAUUGAUAUCUUCAGGGUUGAUGGACUAACCUCUUCCAUGGAGUUAGUCACAGGCAAGUUCACAAUUACACUCGACAUUAUGAAUACCUGUAGAGGUGAGUUGCUCAAAAACAGCCACUCUUCCGGGCUCUGGGGUGUUGAAGGAAAGAGAUGAUGGAAAAAACAAUGGAUUACCGCAAGGUAGCAAAGAUACUCUGC